GAGUUUGAUCCUGGCUCAGAUUGAACGCUGGCGGCAGGCCUAACACAUGCAAGUCGAACGGUAACAGGAAGAAGCUUGCUUCUUUGCUGACGAGUGGCGGACGGGUGAGUAAUGUCUGGGAAACUGCCUGAUGGAGGGGGAUAACUACUGGAAACGGUAGCUAAUACCGCAUAACGUCGCAAGACCAAAGAGGGGGACCUUCGGGCCUCUUGCCAUCGGAUGUGCCCAGAUGGGAUUAGCUAGUAGGUGGGGUAACGGCUCACCUAGGCGACGAUCCCUAGCUGGUCUGAGAGGAUGACCAGGCACACUGGAACUGAGACACGGUCCAGACUCCUACGGGAGGCAGCAGUGGGGAAUAUUGCACAAUGGGCGCAAGCCUGAUGCAGCCAUGCCGCGUGUAUGAAGAAGGCCUUCGGGUUGUAAAGUACUUUCAGCGGGGAGGAAGGGAGUAAAGUUAAUACCUUUGCUCAUU
This 472-nucleotide ribosomal RNA is filed under the name uncultured bacterium. RNAcentral describes it as "bacterial SSU rRNA". It matches the Rfam family "Bacterial small subunit ribosomal RNA", at positions 9 to 477 of the family's 1533-position model. The record is from RNAcentral.